Molecule: long non-coding RNA, 404 nt
Filed under: Trifolium pratense (red clover)
Lineage: Eukaryota; Viridiplantae; Streptophyta; Magnoliopsida; Fabales; Fabaceae
Description: long non-coding RNA (TPRA_LNC003299)
Source: RNAcentral
UCAAGGUUAUGCCUAUAGAGGACCGGGGUUAACAGGUUCUCCUGCGAACCCACAAUAUCUUCCUUCGCAGCAGAAUGCUAACAUGAGACCGCCUCAAUCACAGGGGUUUGCCGGUUCAGUUGGGAACCAGCAAUAUAUACCUUCCCAGCAGAGUGCUAACAUGAGACCACCUCAAUCACAGGGGUUUGCAAGUUCUGUUGGGAACCAGCAAUAUCUACCUUCCCAGCAGAGUGCUAACAUGAGACCACCUCAAUCACAGGGGUUCCCAGGUUUUGUUGCAAACCAGCAAUAUCCACCUUCCCAGCAGAGUCCUACCAUGAGACUACCUCAAUCACAGGGGUUCCCGGGUUCUGUUGCAAACCAGCAAUAUCCAUCUUCCCAGCAGAGUCCUAUCAUGAGACCAC